Long non-coding RNA from Zophobas morio, 1516 nucleotides. RefSeq lists it as uncharacterized. The transcript has 2 exons. Lineage: Eukaryota; Metazoa; Arthropoda; Insecta; Coleoptera; Tenebrionidae. The record is from RefSeq and is a predicted model, not a curated record.
AUUACAGCCAAUGGUGUUUUUCACAUGAACAGAUUGGUAGCGGCGCAUAUGUCAAAAUUUGACAAUUACGCACGAGAGAGUUUUAUUUAAAUAUCUCACAGUUUGUUAUUAAACCAUACCAUUGAAAAAUGGUACCGACACGGCAUAUUGUGGUAAAUAAGCAGAUGAAAAUGGCACUUGCCAACUGCCACAAUGAAUUGAAACUUGCUUAUCCCCAAGCAUCCUCCCGAGAACUUGAAUUCAAGCUUGUAAAAAUCUUUUCAGUAUGUAGUUAUUCUUAUACCAUGGAAAGAGAGUACUAUACUAUGAGAGUAACGUAUCGACAUUCGGAACUUUUUUCAUGUUAUUACAACAUGGUGUACAACAUUGUCUUUUCAAGUUUUAUACCCACUCUUUAUAUCCUACACAAUACAACUAAAUGUCCCUCAUUAAAUUCAAGCACUGCAUACUUUCCCUGUAAACUUAUCAUUAAUUCCUAUCCUUUCCAUAGUGUUCUCGAUGUCAAGCCCACAAAAUUAUAACCCAACACCAAUCUGGAGAACCGUUACAAGAAGCAAAGUGGAAACCAAAACAAAAAUCGCAGUGGUAUUCAAAUUUGGAACUUAAAGAAGAUCUAACCUACCGUAUAUUUGACAAAAACAAAAAAAAUGAGUUUUUUACUCUUCAGGAUUUGUUUAUUUUUGCGAAAGAACAUCCAGAAUAUACAGCAAGUUUAAAUACUUUACGUUGAGUAUUAAAAUCCAUGGGAUUCAGAUUUAAGAAAGUUAACAACAGAAAAAUAAUUGCUUUUUGGUUAUUUGGUCUAUGUGUUCCCAAUGUUUCUAACCACUCCUGUAACAGUAAGUUUAAAUAAGCCGUCAAAUUAUUUUCAACAUACCUAUUAUUUUAGCCUCUGAAUUUUGUGAAGUUACAUUUUGUUCAUUAUUACCACUAAAAUCGUCAGGAUGGAGGAGCAUAGCCAGACCUAUCGCCUUCAACCAAAUCCCUUGUACAUUUUGUAAAUAAUAAGUAGUACCAAAUAUUAGAGUUAUUAAACAUAACAUUAAAGACUUGUUGGUGUCCCAUUUUUUUGAUGAAAAAUUGGUCAUCCAUUGCAACUAAUUAAGGUGAUCUACCCAUUAUAGACAAUUUUGGUGUUGCUCGCGAGAUUGAUCAUUUCAGUCGAGAGAGCUGAUCCUUCGAGUCAUAGUUAGCCACACAUAUAAUUAUCACGUAUACUCAUGUACAAUAAUUUAAACAAAUUCUGAAUAUCUCAGUUAUUCCCCAUCUGUAAAGUAAUUUUUAUGAAGCAGCAACAAUAAAUAAAUCAAUUCACCUUGUUUUUUUACCAGCCCAAUAUUUGAUUUCAUUCGUGACCACAAUAUUUUUGGGUUCAUUUUAUCGUAAUUCGUAAACGUAUCGACUGCAAGUCUAAAUUACAGCAGGUGGCAUUCUUUCUACAGAUGAAAGAUAAAACACGUUUCUAUUUAUCGUUGCUCUUGUAUUAUAAUUACCAUGAAGACUCAGGUUAUCCUGU